Molecule: ribosomal RNA, 280 nt
Filed under: Acinetobacter baumannii
Lineage: Bacteria; Pseudomonadati; Pseudomonadota; Gammaproteobacteria; Moraxellales; Moraxellaceae
Description: partial 16S ribosomal RNA
Rfam family: Bacterial small subunit ribosomal RNA
Source: RNAcentral
GGAAACAGCUUGCUGUUUCGCUGACGAGUGGGGGACGGGUGAGUAAUGUCUGGGAAACUGCCUGAUGGAGGGGGAUAACUACUGGAAACGGUAGCUAAUACCGCAUAACGUCGCAAGACCAAAGAGGGGGACCUUCGGGCCUCUUGCCAUCAGAUGUGCCCAGAUGGGAUUAGCUAGUAGGUGGGGUAACGGCUCACCUAGGCGACGAUCCCUAGCUGGUCUGAGAGGAUGACCAGCCACACUGGAACUGAGACACGGUCCAGACUCCUACGGGAGGCAG